Molecule: long non-coding RNA, 208 nt
Organism: Hippocampus comes (tiger tail seahorse)
Lineage: Eukaryota; Metazoa; Chordata; Actinopteri; Syngnathiformes; Syngnathidae
Exons: 3
Source: RefSeq, a predicted model, not a curated record
GCAAGUUUUUUCCGCUGUCCACAAGCCCUCUUCUCAAUGAGUCAAUGACUGGGCCAAAGGCGCAGCCACCAGACUCGGAGGACAUGCGGAAGGGACGCCGACCUGCCUUUGGACACGCGUGAGUACUGAGCUGAGUGGUGUGCUUGAAGAGAUGAUGUCUGAUGUCACAUUGCACCACAAGGUGGAGAGCAGACAUCACAAAAGCAGA